This 864-nucleotide ribosomal RNA is filed under the name Staphylococcus aureus. RNAcentral's name for it is "partial 23S ribosomal RNA". It matches the Rfam family "Bacterial large subunit ribosomal RNA", at positions 581 to 1452 of the family's 2925-position model. Lineage: Bacteria; Bacillati; Bacillota; Bacilli; Caryophanales; Staphylococcaceae. The record is from RNAcentral.
CCGUUAAUGGGUGAUGGCGUGCCUUUUGUAGAAUGAACCGGCGAGUUACGAUUUGAUGCAAGGUUAAGCAGUAAAUGUGGAGCCGUAGCGAAAGCGAGUCUGAAUAGGGCGUUUAGUAUUUGGUCGUAGACCCGAAACCAGGUGAUCUACCCUUGGUCAGGUUGAAGUUCAGGUAACACUGAAUGGAGGACCGAACCGACUUACGUUGAAAAGUGAGCGGAUGAACUGAGGGUAGCGGAGAAAUUCCAAUCGAACCUGGAGAUAGCUGGUUCUCUCCGAAAUAGCUUUAGGGCUAGCCUCAAGUGAUGAUUAUUGGAGGUAGAGCACUGUUUGGACGAGGGGCCCCUCUCGGGUUACCGAAUUCAGACAAACUCCGAAUGCCAAUUAAUUUAACUUGGGAGUCAGAACAUGGGUGAUAAGGUCCGUGUUCGAAAGGGAAACAGCCCAGACCACCAGCUAAGGUCCCAAAAUAUAUGUUAAGUGGAAAAGGAUGUGGCGUUGCCCAGACAACUAGGAUGUUGGCUUAGAAGCAGCCAUCAUUUAAAGAGUGCGUAAUAGCUCACUAGUCGAGUGACACUGCGCCGAAAAUGUACCGGGGCUAAACAUAUUACCGAAGCUGUGGAUUGUCCUUUGGACAAUGGUAGGAGAGCGUUCUAAGGGCGUUGAAGCAUGAUCGUAAGGACAUGUGGAGCGCUUAGAAGUGAGAAUGCCGGUGUGAGUAGCGAAAGACGGGUGAGAAUCCCGUCCACCGAUUGACUAAGGUUUCCAGAGGAAGGCUCGUCCGCUCUGGGUUAGUCGGGUCCUAAGCUGAGGCCGACAGGCGUAGGCGAUGGAUAACAGGUUGAUAUUCCUGUACCACCUAUA